This 1526-nucleotide ribosomal RNA is filed under the name Bacteroides thetaiotaomicron. RNAcentral's name for it is "bacterial SSU rRNA". It matches the Rfam family "Bacterial small subunit ribosomal RNA". The record is from RNAcentral. Lineage: Bacteria; Pseudomonadati; Bacteroidota; Bacteroidia; Bacteroidales; Bacteroidaceae.
AUGAAGAGUUUGAUCCUGGCUCAGGAUGAACGCUAGCUACAGGCUUAACACAUGCAAGUCGAGGGGCAGCAUUUCAGUUUGCUUGCAAACUGGAGAUGGCGACCGGCGCACGGGUGAGUAACACGUAUCCAACCUGCCGAUAACUCGGGGAUAGCCUUUCGAAAGAAAGAUUAAUACCCGAUGGCAUAAUUAGACCGCAUGGUCUUAUUAUUAAAGAAUUUCGGUUAUCGAUGGGGAUGCGUUCCAUUAGGCAGUUGGUGAGGUAACGGCUCACCAAACCUUCGAUGGAUAGGGGUUCUGAGAGGAAGGUCCCCCACAUUGGAACUGAGACACGGUCCAAACUCCUACGGGAGGCAGCAGUGAGGAAUAUUGGUCAAUGGGCGCAGGCCUGAACCAGCCAAGUAGCGUGAAGGAUGACUGCCCUAUGGGUUGUAAACUUCUUUUAUAUGGGAAUAAAGUUUUCCACGUGUGGAAUUUUGUAUGUACCAUAUGAAUAAGGAUCGGCUAACUCCGUGCCAGCAGCCGCGGUAAUACGGAGGAUCCGAGCGUUAUCCGGAUUUAUUGGGUUUAAAGGGAGCGUAGGUGGACAGUUAAGUCAGUUGUGAAAGUUUGCGGCUCAACCGUAAAAUUGCAGUUGAUACUGGCUGUCUUGAGUACAGUAGAGGUGGGCGGAAUUCGUGGUGUAGCGGUGAAAUGCUUAGAUAUCACGAAGAACUCCGAUUGCGAAGGCAGCUCACUGGACUGCAACUGACACUGAUGCUCGAAAGUGUGGGUAUCAAACAGGAUUAGAUACCCUGGUAGUCCACACAGUAAACGAUGAAUACUCGCUGUUUGCGAUAUACAGUAAGCGGCCAAGCGAAAGCAUUAAGUAUUCCACCUGGGGAGUACGCCGGCAACGGUGAAACUCAAAGGAAUUGACGGGGGCCCGCACAAGCGGAGGAACAUGUGGUUUAAUUCGAUGAUACGCGAGGAACCUUACCCGGGCUUAAAUUGCAUUUGAAUAAUCUGGAAACAGGUUAGCCGCAAGGCAAAUGUGAAGGUGCUGCAUGGUUGUCGUCAGCUCGUGCCGUGAGGUGUCGGCUUAAGUGCCAUAACGAGCGCAACCCUUAUCUUUAGUUACUAACAGGUCAUGCUGAGGACUCUAGAGAGACUGCCGUCGUAAGAUGUGAGGAAGGUGGGGAUGACGUCAAAUCAGCACGGCCCUUACGUCCGGGGCUACACACGUGUUACAAUGGGGGGUACAGAAGGCAGCUACCUGGUGACAGGAUGCUAAUCCCAAAAGCCUCUCUCAGUUCGGAUCGAAGUCUGCAACCCGACUUCGUGAAGCUGGAUUCGCUAGUAAUCGCGCAUCAGCCAUGGCGCGGUGAAUACGUUCCCGGGCCUUGUACACACCGCCCGUCAAGCCAUGAAAGCCGGGGGUACCUGAAGUACGUAACCGCAAGGAGCGUCCUAGGGUAAAACUGGUAAUUGGGGCUAAGUCGUAACAAGGUAGCCGUACCGGAAGGUGCGGCUGGAACACCUCCUUU